GGCUAUAGCCAUGCCACCCUGAACGUGCCUGAUCUCGUCUGGUCUCAGGAGGUAAGCAGGGUCGGGUCUGGUUAGUACUUGGAUGGGAGACCACCUAGGAAGACCGGGUGCUGUAGGCG
RNAcentral lists this ribosomal RNA (119 nucleotides) under Pteropus alecto (black flying fox). Lineage: Eukaryota; Metazoa; Chordata; Mammalia; Chiroptera; Pteropodidae. The record is from RNAcentral.